This 253-nucleotide ribosomal RNA is filed under the name uncultured bacterium. Its description in RNAcentral is "partial 16S ribosomal RNA". It matches the Rfam family "Bacterial small subunit ribosomal RNA", at positions 524 to 776 of the family's 1533-position model. The record is from RNAcentral.
UACAGAGGUGUCAAACGUUGUCCGGAAUUACUGGGCGUAAAGGGCGCGUAGGUUGCGCCCCAAGUCGAUGGUGAAAGCUCGCCGCUCAACGGCGAGUCGGCCACCGAUACUGGGUUGCUCGAGCACUGUAGAGGCUAAUGGAAUUCCGGGUGUAGCGGUGGAAUGCGUAGAGAUCCGGAAGAACACCGGUGGCGAAGGCGGUUAGCUGGGCAGUUGCUGACACUGAGGCGCGACAGCGUGGGGAGCAAACAGG